CCUACGGGAGGCAGCAGUGAGGAAUAUUGGUCAAUGGGAGAGAUCCUGAACCAGCCAAGCCGCGUGAGGGAAGACGGCCCUAUGGGUUGUAAACCUCUUUUGUCGGAGAACAAAACCCGGGACGUGUCCCGGACUGCGUGUAUCCGAAGAAAAAGCAUCGGCUAACUCCGUGCCAGCAGCCGCGGUAAUACGUAGGGGGCGAGCGUUAUCCGGAUUUACUGGGUGUAAAGGGAGCGUAGACGGUUCUGCAAGUCUGAAGUGAAAGCCCGUUGCUUAACCGCGGAACGGCUUUGGAAACUGUGGAACUGGAGUGCUGGAGAGGCAAGCGGAAUUCCUAGUGUAGCGGUGAAAUGCGUAGAUAUUAGGAGGAACACCAGUGGCGAAGGCGGCUUGCUGGACAGUAACUGACGUUGAGGCUCGAAAGCGUGGGGAGCAAACAGGAUUAGAUACUCUGGUAGU
This 459-nucleotide ribosomal RNA is filed under the name uncultured bacterium. RNAcentral's name for it is "partial 16S ribosomal RNA". It matches the Rfam family "Bacterial small subunit ribosomal RNA", at positions 338 to 794 of the family's 1533-position model. The record is from RNAcentral.